RNAcentral lists this ribosomal RNA (396 nucleotides) under Helicobacter pylori. Its description in RNAcentral is "bacterial SSU rRNA". It matches the Rfam family "Bacterial small subunit ribosomal RNA", at positions 279 to 691 of the family's 1533-position model. The record is from RNAcentral. Lineage: Bacteria; Pseudomonadati; Campylobacterota; Epsilonproteobacteria; Campylobacterales; Helicobacteraceae.
AACGGUAUCCGGCCUAAAAGGGUGAACGGACACACUGGAACUGAGACACGGUCCAGACUCCUACGGGAGGCACGCAGUAGGGAAUAUUGCUCAAUGGGGGAAACCCUGAAGCAGCAACGCCGCGUGGAGGAUGAAGGUUUUAGGAUUGUAAACUCCUUUUGUUAGAGAAGAUAAUGACGGUAUCUAACGAAUAAGCACCGGCUAACUCCGUGCCAGCAGCCGCGGUAAUACGGAGGGUGCAAGCGUUACUCGGAAUCACUGGGCGUAAAGAGCGCGUAGGCGGGAUAGUCAGUCAGGUGUGAAAUCCUAUGGCUUAACCAUAGAACUGCAUUUGAAACUACUAUUCUAGAGUGUGGGAGAGGUAGGUGGAAUUCUUGGUGUAGGGGGUAAAAUCAA